GAUAACUGGCUUGUGGCCACCAAGCGUUCAUAGCGAAGAGGCUUUUUGGUCUUCGUUGUCAGCUCUCCCUAUCAUUGCGAAGCUAAAUUGUCAAACCGAAGGAUUUUUACCCUUUGAAGGGAACGUGAGAAUAAUUGCAAUGUUCGUAAAAACACC
Molecule: non-coding RNA, 156 nt
Filed under: Anopheles sinensis
Lineage: Eukaryota; Metazoa; Arthropoda; Insecta; Diptera; Culicidae
Description: eukaryotic large subunit ribosomal RNA
Rfam family: Eukaryotic large subunit ribosomal RNA
Source: Rfam by way of RNAcentral